RNAcentral lists this ribosomal RNA (253 nucleotides) under uncultured bacterium. RNAcentral's name for it is "partial 16S ribosomal RNA". It matches the Rfam family "Bacterial small subunit ribosomal RNA", at positions 524 to 776 of the family's 1533-position model. The record is from RNAcentral.
UACGGAGGGGGCAAGCGUUAUCCGGAAUUAUUGGGCGUAAAGCGCGCGUAGGCGGUUUGUUAAGUCUGAUGUGAAAGCCCCCGGCUCAACCGGGGAAGGGCAGUGGAAACUGGCAAACUUGAGUGGGGAAGAGGAAAGUGGAAUUCCAGGUGUAGCGGUGAAAUGCGCAGAGAUAUGGAGGAACACCAGUGGCGAAGGCGACUGCCUGGUCAGUAACUGACGCUGAGGUGCGAAAGCGUGGGGAGCAAACAGG